CCCCGGGGCCCCACGCUCCAGCCCACCCGACCCUGACUCCUGCUCUGCUUGAGACCACCCCCCUCUGCCCCAGGGCCCUUGCUCACGACCUGGGAGCAGCCCCCCUUCCUGUCCAAGCACACCUGGGCUGGGAAGGGAGACGGUCCUGGCCUCGGGCACUUCCCAGCAGUCCGACCAUGGCAGGUUACAGCCCUCGGCAGCCCUCCGGGAGCCUAAGUGUCCUCAUCAGGGUAACAAGGACAGUGCCGUCCCCCUCUGUCGGGUGGUGGAAGUGCGGGAGGGCCCUGGCCGAGUGUGGGGCGGGUGGCUGGCGUCCCCCC
Lontra canadensis (Northern American river otter) is the source of this 320-nucleotide long non-coding RNA. RefSeq lists it as uncharacterized. The transcript is spliced from 3 exons. The record is from RefSeq and is a predicted model, not a curated record. Lineage: Eukaryota; Metazoa; Chordata; Mammalia; Carnivora; Mustelidae.